Molecule: unclassified non-coding RNA, 392 nt
Filed under: soil metagenome
Description: partial contains 5.8S ribosomal RNA, internal transcribed spacer 2, and large subunit ribosomal RNA
Rfam family: 5.8S ribosomal RNA (bases 1-122)
Source: RNAcentral
GAUGAAGAACGUAGCGAAAUGCGAUACUUGGUGUGAAUUGCAGAAUCCCGUGAACCAUCGAGUCUUUGAACGCAAGUUGCGCCCGAAGCCAUUAGGCCGAGGGCACGCCUGCCUGGGCGUCACACGUCGUUGCCCCCCCCAUCUACUCCUUCGGGAUUGCGGGGGGCGGAUGAUGGCCUCCCGUGCGCCUCGUCGCGCGGUUGGCAUAAAUGCCAAGUCCUCGGCGACGCACGCCACGACAAUCGGUGGUUGCGAAACCUCGGUUGCCCGUCGUGUGCGGUCGUCGCGCAUCGAGGGCUCGAAAAAAUUGCCGGGUUCCGGCUCGGCUUUCAACGCGACCCCAGGUCAGGCGGGGUUACCCGCUGAAUUUAAGCAUAUCAAUAAGCGGAGGA